CUGAGACAGAGAGAGAUCAAUGCGGCUUGUUAUCGCAGCUGCUUUUCCUUUAUUUAUCCUCUUUUGACAGAAAGAGGGAAAAGAUGGCUUGAAAGAAUGCGAGAGCGAGAGAGAAUGAGGCAUCUGAGGACGUGUCUGAAUACAGGAAGUUAUUUUAGAAGAUCUGGGCGGUGGAGGAGCGCUUGUCUCGUUCUCAACCCUGGUAAAGUAAAACUAGACAGGACAGAUGAGAUUGAGGGGAAAAAGGUCAACAUGUGUUGGUUCAUCAACAGUAUAACAGCACAAUGUGCCAGAACACUGACACCACACGGAUGAAGAGUGAAAGAGAGAGAGACAGAAGAAAGAAAGUCAUACAAGUUUGGAGUGACACAAGGUUGCCAAGGUGAUUUAGUUGUGACUGCACGCCACAAGCCCAAAGCCAAAAAUUAUCAGUGUCUGAUGAAUGACGCAGGGCUGCAGGUCAGGACCGUGGCAGGAGCUCAGUUUUGGGAGAGGAUUGCAAAGAUCUGCGGGCCGCUGAUAUGGGAAAACCCCUGUGUAAACACACACACACACACACUUCUAACCCAAUCAGCUACACUUUUAAAUCUGUCUGAAUGCCACCUGUGUUGCUAAGAGCAAGUUUCUGAUUGGAUGUGGGUGUGCAGAGACAAACCCUGAUAAUAACAUUAGCACAAAGUCACAUCUGUCGUGUGGCAUUUAACAUCCCCCCUCGUUGAAUUAGACCCAGCGAUCCUGAGCAGAUUCACUACUGUGCAUCAACUUUAAGUCAAUCACACCAUUACAAGAGAUUCGAAAUGCUCCCUGAAGCACAAAAAUGCCGUCGCAACGUGUGACAGAUGUGUUUUUUUUGCCCAGAAUAAUUGAAGUAGAACUGAAAUCAAGUCUCAAUCAAAUAUUCAUUACCGUUACUCACUACUGCUCGGAGACAUGUUUUAAACGCACACCCGGGACCCGCCAGUGACAAUCAAACUAAGCCAAAGUGUCAAACUCCAUUAGGCACUGUGCCACUGGCAAACGAAA
This is a long non-coding RNA of Ctenopharyngodon idella (grass carp), 1023 nucleotides long. RefSeq lists it as uncharacterized. The transcript has 4 exons. Lineage: Eukaryota; Metazoa; Chordata; Actinopteri; Cypriniformes; Xenocyprididae. The record is from RefSeq and is a predicted model, not a curated record.